RNAcentral lists this ribosomal RNA (420 nucleotides) under uncultured archaeon. RNAcentral describes it as "partial 16S ribosomal RNA". It matches the Rfam family "Archaeal small subunit ribosomal RNA", at positions 323 to 746 of the family's 1478-position model. The record is from RNAcentral.
CUACGGGAGGCUCCAGUUAGGAAUAAUCUGCAAUGCGCGAAAGCGUGACAGUUUGAACCAGAGUGCUUCUUAUUAAGAAGCUUUUGCCAAAUGUAAAAAGUUUGGCGAAUAAGGACUGGGUAAGACUAGUGCCAGCCGCCGCGGUAAUACUAGCGGUCCGAGUCGCAGCCAUAUUUAUUGGGUCUAAAACAUCCGUAGCUUGCUUUGUAAGUUUCUUGUGAAAUUCUAUCUCUUAAAGGUAGAGCGCGCAAGAAGUACUGCAGUGCUAGAGACUGGAAGACGUAAGGAGUAUGUUCAAAGUAGCGGUAAAAUGUUUUAAUCUUGAACAGACUAACAACAGCGAAGGCACCUUACGAGGACAGUUCUGACAGUAAGGGAUGAAGGCUAGGGUCGCGAAACGGAUUAGAUACCCUAGUAGUC